Homo sapiens (human) is the source of this 810-nucleotide long non-coding RNA. The record is from Ensembl. NCBI's taxonomy places the organism in Eukaryota, Metazoa, Chordata, Mammalia, Primates, Hominidae.
GGGAGUGGGGUGCUGGGUUCGGAGGUUUCCACGGCGGCCUCAAAACACUGGGCCAUUGCUUCGGCAGAAAAUGUGAAGGGUCCCUGAAAAAUACUAUGGGGGCCCCCACACGUGCUUACGUUUAAGGGAGUCAGACCCCGGUCCCCGGAGCUGUGUCCCGCGGCUGCUUAACGGCGAAAGCUUCCUAUUUGUAACCCGAACCGUCUGAGCUACUGGGCAUGCCCAGUCCCACCACUGGAAAGAGUGGGCAGAGAAGAGAGAGCUUUGAUUCUGACAUGAGAGUCAAAUUUCAAAAUGCAAAGAACGAAGUGUUUAAAAAAUGCCUGGUGAUGCCCCCCCAGUACCGCCAGCUGCUGAGUGACCAUGGGCCACUAUCCAUAGGCUACACCCAGGGAGCUGGGAACAGCCAGGAGCCCCAGUGAAGAGUUGGGGAGAGAUCAACCCUGCCUACGUGGAGUAAGAACAGAAUAAAGAGACUAAAUCGAGGCAUUAUUCACUCUAGAAAGCUGGGUUUUUUCCUUCACAAGAGCACUCAGUACAGCUGGUGAAUUACAGCCUUUAUCAAGAAUGGAAAGAGCUCUCAGCUCUGCUGUAUAGCAGCAGGAAGAAUCUUUUCAUUUGUAUUUAACAAGACCUAAAAGCAAGCACUUCCACCAGGAGCCCCUACCAGCUUUGUGCUCCUUUCAGCUUAUGCCAGGUUACCCUGACUCUUGUACCCAACCUUACUGCAGCGCCCCUGGUUUGGAGCUCCACUUCCUUCUGUGUUAUAUCAGCACCUGCCACCUCUGCUCUAAUUAAAAUGUUGGUAGC